CAGUAGCCGCGGGAAUACGGAGGAUCCAAGCGUUAUCCGGAAUCAUUGGGUUUAAAGGGUCCGUAGGCGGUCUUGUAAGUCAGUGGUGAAAGCCCAUCGCUCAACGGUGGAACGGCCAUUGAUACUGCAGGACUUGAAUUAUUGGGAAGUAACUAGAAUAUGUAGUGUAGCGGUGAAAUGCUUAGAGAUUACAUGGAAUACCAAUUGCGAAGGCAGGUUACUACCAAUUGAUUGACGCUGAUGGACGAAAGCGUGGGUAGCGAACAGGAUUAGAGACCCCUGUAGUCCCUGUCUCUUAUAA
RNAcentral lists this ribosomal RNA (301 nucleotides) under uncultured bacterium. RNAcentral describes it as "partial 16S ribosomal RNA". It matches the Rfam family "Bacterial small subunit ribosomal RNA", at positions 509 to 809 of the family's 1533-position model. The record is from RNAcentral.